GAUGAAGAACGUAGUGAAAUGCGAUAAGUAAUGCGAAUUGCAGAAUCCGUGAGUCAUCGAAUCUUUGAACGCACAUUGCGCCCUCUGGUAUUCCGGAGGGCAUGCCUGUUCGAGCGUCAUUAUCACCCCUCAAGCCCGGCUUGUUGUUGGAUGCAGCGCUUAUCCCGCUCCUCCCAAAGAUAAUGACGGCGUCUGCGACGACUCCUGUACACUGAGCUUUCGGGCACGUACACGGCUAGAAGUCCAGACCCGGUCGCCGUCCCCCCCGCGGGGACACCCAUUACCACAAGGUUGACCUCGGAUCAGGUAGGAAUACCCGCUGAACUUAAGCAUAUCAUAAGCGGAGGA
This 348-nucleotide unclassified non-coding RNA is filed under the name soil metagenome. Its description in RNAcentral is "partial contains 5.8S ribosomal RNA, internal transcribed spacer 2, and large subunit ribosomal RNA". The stretch from base 1 to 119 matches the Rfam family "5.8S ribosomal RNA", at positions 35 to 154 of the family's 154-position model. The record is from RNAcentral.